This is a long non-coding RNA of Paramisgurnus dabryanus, 506 nucleotides long. RefSeq lists it as uncharacterized. The record is from RefSeq and is a predicted model, not a curated record. NCBI's taxonomy places the organism in Eukaryota, Metazoa, Chordata, Actinopteri, Cypriniformes, Cobitidae.
AAAUAGGAUGCAGACAGCAUUUGACCUGCGGCGACAGACCAUAGUGAAGACAUGCCCACCAGUGAAAAACCUCAUGGAACUCUGGCCUGCACUCAAAUAGAGUCUGAGGUGUAUUUAGAGUUCCAACGAAUUACAAUACAGAACCUGCCCAACAUAUUCUGCUCUGAGCUUGACCGACAUCUUCUUUCUGAAAAGAGUCAUCAGUCUAGAAAGACAACCAAAAUUGGGAAGACAUCAAAUGCUUUGACUGAAAUCCUAAGAAUCUACGAUUAACAGGAGGUACGUGACAUACACACCAAGUGUAUCACUGCACUUCAUCUCCUUCCAGUCUAUCAACAUGAGGACGUCUCAGGGUUCUUCAGGACCUGCACAGACACAUCUGAUGAGCCAGAGCUUUAAGAUGUUGUAAAGGCCCUCCUUACAGUCAUCAUAGAUGACGACACAAGUCCAGUUCACUUCAAGCCUGAGAAAAUCUGUCAUCAUUGAAAGCGAGAUUUGGUCAACCU